RNAcentral lists this ribosomal RNA (253 nucleotides) under uncultured bacterium. Its description in RNAcentral is "partial 16S ribosomal RNA". It matches the Rfam family "Bacterial small subunit ribosomal RNA", at positions 524 to 776 of the family's 1533-position model. The record is from RNAcentral.
UACGGAGGUUGCAAGCGUUGUUCGGAUUUAUUGGGCGUAAAGCGCGUGUAGGCGGCCAGAAAAGUCCGCUGUGAAAACUCGAGGCUCAACUUCGAGCUGUCGGUGGAAACUUUCUGGCUAGAGUCCGGAAGAGGAGAAUGGAAUUCCUGGUGUAGCGGUGAAAUGCGCAGAUAUCAGGAAGAACACCCGUGGCGAAGGCGGUUCUCUGGGACGGUACUGACACUGAGGCACGAAAGCGUGGGGAGCAAACAGG